CCCUUAGAUGUUCUGGGCCGCACGCGUGCUACACUGAGUGGAUCAGCGGGUCAGGUUGCGCGAAAGCGUUUCCUAAUCUUUAAAUCCGCUCGUGAUGGGGAUUGACGGUUGCAAUUUUCUGUCAUGAUCGAGGAAUACCUUGUAAGCGCGGGUCAUCAUCCCGCGCUGAAUACGUCCCUGCCCUUUGUACACACCGCCCGUCGCUCCUACCGAUUGAGUGGUCCGGUGAGGCUUUGGGAUCUGAGCGGAAAGAGCGUUUCGCUGUUUCUGCUCGGAAAACUCAGUCGAACCUUAUCAUUUAGAGGAAGGAGAAGUCGUAACA
Molecule: ribosomal RNA, 322 nt
Filed under: uncultured eukaryote
Lineage: Eukaryota
Description: partial 18S ribosomal RNA
Rfam family: Eukaryotic small subunit ribosomal RNA
Source: RNAcentral